This 254-nucleotide ribosomal RNA is filed under the name uncultured bacterium. RNAcentral's name for it is "partial 16S ribosomal RNA". It matches the Rfam family "Bacterial small subunit ribosomal RNA", at positions 524 to 777 of the family's 1533-position model. The record is from RNAcentral.
UACGAAGGUGGCAAGCGUUGUUCGGAUUUACUGGGCGUAAAGGGAGCGUAGGUGGUGGGGUAAGCCCCGCGGGAAAGCUCCAGGCUUAACCUGGAAAGGUCGCGGGGGACUGCUCCGCUCGAGGACGGGAGAGGAGCGCGGAAUUCCCGGUGUAGCGGUGAAAUGCGUAGAGAUCGGGAGGAAGGCCGGUGGCGAAGGCGGCGCUCUGGAACGGCCCUGACACUGAGGCUCGAAAGCGUGGGGAGCAAACAGGG